UGGGGAAUAUUGCACAAUGGGCGCAAGCCUGAUGCAGCCAUGCCGCGUGUAUGAAGAAGGCCUUCGGGUUGUAAAGUACUUUCAGCGGGGAGGAAGGGAGUAAAGUUAAUACCUUUGCUCAUUGACGUUACCCGCAGAAGAAGCACCGGCUAACUCCGUGCCAGCAGCCGCGGUAAUACGGAGGGUGCAAGCGUUAAUCGGAAUUACUGGGCGUAAAGCGCACGCAGGCGGUUUGUUAAGUCAGAUGUGAAAUCCCCGGGCUCAACCUGGGAACUGCAUCUGAUACUGGCAAGCUUGAGUCUCGUAGAGGGGGGUAGAAUUCCAGGUGUAGCGGUGAAAUGCGUAGAGAUCUGGAGGAAUACCGGUGGCGAAGGCAGCCCCCUGGACGAAGACUGACGCUCAGGUGCGAAAGCGUGGGGAGCAAACAGG
This 429-nucleotide ribosomal RNA is filed under the name Acidobacteriota bacterium. RNAcentral's name for it is "Acidobacteria bacterium partial 16S ribosomal RNA". It matches the Rfam family "Bacterial small subunit ribosomal RNA", at positions 355 to 776 of the family's 1533-position model. Lineage: Bacteria; Pseudomonadati; Acidobacteriota. RNAcentral also lists the same sequence under 2 other names. The record is from RNAcentral.